AACGUGGGUAACCUGCCCAAGAGACUGGGAUAACACCUGGAAACAGAUGCUAAUACCGGAUAACAACACUAGACGCAUGUCUAGAGUUUAAAAGAUGGUUCUGCUAUCACUCUUGGAUGGACCUGCGGUGCAUUAGCUAGUUGGUAAGGUAACGGCCUACCAAGCCGACGAUCAGUAGCCGACCUGAGAGGGUGACCGGCCACAUUGGGACUGAGACACGGCCCAG
Molecule: ribosomal RNA, 226 nt
Filed under: uncultured bacterium
Lineage: Bacteria
Description: partial 16S ribosomal RNA
Rfam family: Bacterial small subunit ribosomal RNA
Source: RNAcentral